GGGUGAGUAAUGUCUGGGAAACUGCCCGAUGGAGGGGGAUAACUACUGGAAACGGUAGCUAAUACCGCAUAACGUCGCAAGACCAAAGAGGGGGACCUUCGGGCCUCUUGCCAUCGGAUGUGCCCAGAUGGGAUUAGCUAGUAGGUGGGGUAACGGCUCACCUAGGCGACGAUCCCUAGCUGGUCUGAGAGGAUGACCAGCCACACUGGAACUGAGACACGGUCCAGACUCCUACGGGAGGCAGCAGUGGGGAAUAUUGCACAAUGGGCGCAAGCCUGAUGCAGCCAUGCCGCGUGUAUGAAGAAGGCCUUCGGGUUGUAAAGUACUUUCAGCGAGGAGGAAGGUGUUGUGGUUAAUAACCACAGCGAUUGACGUUACUCGCAGAAGAAGCACCGGCUAACUCCGUGCCAGCAGCCGCGGUAAUACGGAGGGUGCAAGCGUUAAUCGGAAUUACUGGGCGUAAAGCGCACGCAGGCGGUCUGUCAAGUCGGAUGUGAAAUCCCCGGGCUCAACCUGGGAACUGCAUCCGAAACUGGCAGGCUAGAGUCUUGUAGAGGGGGGUAGAAUUCCAGG
RNAcentral lists this ribosomal RNA (573 nucleotides) under Citrobacter sp. Its description in RNAcentral is "bacterial SSU rRNA". It matches the Rfam family "Bacterial small subunit ribosomal RNA", at positions 104 to 673 of the family's 1533-position model. Lineage: Bacteria; Pseudomonadati; Pseudomonadota; Gammaproteobacteria; Enterobacterales; Enterobacteriaceae. The record is from RNAcentral.